AUGGCCAGCCUCGCCGACCUCGUCAACCUCGACCUCAGCGACUGCACCGACAAGAUCAUCGUCGAGUACCUCUGGGUUGGAGGAUCCGGUAUCGACAUCAGGAGCAAAGCAAGGACGGUGAACGGCCCCAUCACCGACGCGAGCCAGCUGCCCAAGUGGAACUACGACGGCUCCAGCACCGGCCAGGCUCCCGGAGAGGACAGCGAAGUCAUCCUCUACCCCCAGGCCAUUUUCAAGGACCCGUUCAGGAGGGGUGACAACCUCCUUGUUAUGUGCGACUGCUACACACCCCAAGGUGUGCCAAUCCCCACGAACAAGAGGCACAACGCUGCCAAGAUCUUCAACACCCCGAAGGUUGCAGCUGAGGAGACAUGGUAUGGAAUUGAGCAGGAGUACACUCUCCUCCAGAAGGACGUGAACUGGCCUCUUGGCUGGCCCAUUGGUGGCUACCCUGGUCCGCAGGGACCAUACUACUGCGCCGCCGGCGCGGACAAGGCGUUCGGGCGUGACAUCGUGGACGCCCACUACAAGGCCUGCCUCUACGCCGGGAUCAACAUCAGCGGCAUCAACGGGGAGGUCAUGCCCGGCCAGUGGGAGUUCCAAGUUGGGCCGUCCGUCGGGAUCGCGGCGUCCGACCAGCUGUGGGUGGCGCGCUACAUCCUCGAGAGGAUCACUGAGGUUGCCGGGGUGGUGCUGUCCCUGGACCCGAAGCCGAUCCCGGGCGACUGGAACGGCGCGGGCGCGCACACCAACUACAGCACCAAGUCGAUGCGGGAGGCCGGCGGGUACGAGGUGAUCAAGACGGCCAUCGAGAAGCUGGGCAAGCGGCACGCGCAGCACAUCGCCGCCUACGGCGAGGGCAACGAGCGCCGCCUCACGGGCCACCACGAGACCGCCGACAUCAACACCUUCAAGUGGGGCGUGGCGGACCGCGGCGCGUCCGUCCGCGUGGGCCGCGACACCGAGAAGGACGGCAAGGGCUACUUCGAGGACCGCAGGCCGGCCUCCAACAUGGACCCCUACGUCGUCACCUCCAUGAUCGCCGAGACCACGCUCCUCCUCUGA
RNAcentral lists this ribosomal RNA (1065 nucleotides) under Triticum aestivum (bread wheat). RNAcentral describes it as "partial small subunit ribosomal RNA". Lineage: Eukaryota; Viridiplantae; Streptophyta; Magnoliopsida; Poales; Poaceae. The record is from RNAcentral.